UCUGGGACAAGCCCUGGAAACGGGGUCUAAUACCGGAUACGACACGGGACCGCAUGGUCUGCGUGUGGAAAGCUCCGGCGGUGAAGGAUGAGCCCGCGGCCUAUCAGCUUGUUGGUGGGGUAAUGGCCUACCAAGGCGACGACGGGUAGCCGGCCUGAGAGGGCGACCGGCCACACUGGGACUGAGACACGGCCCAGACUCCUACGGGAGGCAGCAGUGGGGAAUAUUGCACAAUGGGCGAAAGCCUGAUGCAGCGACGCCGCGUGAGGGAUGACGGCCUUCGGGUUGUAAACCUCUUUCAGCAGGGAAGAAGCGAGAGUGACGGUACCUGCAGAAGAAGCGCCGGCUAACUACGUGCCAGCAGCCGCGGUAAUACGUAGGGCGCAAGCGUUGUCCGGAAUUAUUGGGCGUAAAGAGCUCGUAGGCGGCUUGUCACGUCGGAUGUGAAAGCCCGGGGCUUAACCCCGGGUCUGCAUUCGAUACGGGCAGGCUAGAGUUCGGUAGGGGAGAUCGGAAUUCCUGGUGUAGCGGUGAAAUGCGCAGAUAUCAGGAGGAACACCGGUGGCGAAGGCGGAUCUCUGGGCCGAUACUGACGCUGAGGAGCGAAAGCGUGGGGAGCGAACAGGAUUAGAUACCCUGGUAGUCCACGCCGUAAACGUUGGGAACUAGGUGUGGGCGACAUUCCACGUCGUCCGUGCCGCAGCUAACGCAUUAAGUUCCCCGCCUGG
Molecule: ribosomal RNA, 728 nt
Filed under: Streptomyces sp.
Lineage: Bacteria; Bacillati; Actinomycetota; Actinomycetes; Kitasatosporales; Streptomycetaceae
Description: bacterial SSU rRNA
Rfam family: Bacterial small subunit ribosomal RNA
Source: RNAcentral